AGGUUUCUGACGCAUAUUGCACGUCGUGGGACCUACCAUGACGAACACAUACUUGAGCGCUU
Molecule: ribosomal RNA, 62 nt
Filed under: Anopheles pullus
Lineage: Eukaryota; Metazoa; Arthropoda; Insecta; Diptera; Culicidae
Description: partial 5.8S ribosomal RNA
Source: RNAcentral